Long non-coding RNA from Capsicum annuum, 1560 nucleotides. RefSeq lists it as uncharacterized. NCBI's taxonomy places the organism in Eukaryota, Viridiplantae, Streptophyta, Magnoliopsida, Solanales, Solanaceae. The record is from RefSeq and is a predicted model, not a curated record. The transcript has 3 exons.
ACUAACUUAGACAGAGGGGUUGUUUUAUAUUAAGGUGAAAUGUAAAACUGGCUGUCCUUCGUUACAGACGCUUUGGGAUCUUCGUCCUCUUACAAUUCCUGUUGUCAGAUUGGAUCUCAGCCUUAACCUUGAGAGGAUCUGAGGCACGGUCUAGGGUUCUGACAGACAGUAGAUUUUGUUGGACAGAAGUGCAGAUUCUAAUUGAAAUAACAAUCAUGAUUCUCGUCGCAAUGCUAAUCAGAGUGCCCAUAAUGAUGAAGUCCCUCCCGCUUAUGGGAUGAGGACACGUAACAGAGCCCACACUCCAGAACCUGUUCCUACUCCGGGAGUCCCUCUAGUUCCGACCAGUCCUCCUCAAGCUCUACGAACCAAUGUUAAUUGUCCCCCAACUACUUAGAGGGACAUUUUAAAUGCAGAAUUCAGACAGUCUAUUGAUAUGCUGACAUAGUUGGUGGCUAAUCAGGAUCAACGAUUAGAAGAAGUUGGGUUUGCAUCGGUUACACCUAGAGCUACUAGGGUGGGCCAGUUCAUGAGAAUGAACCUGCCCAAAUUUUUUGGCACUAAGAUAGAGGAGGACCCGCAGGAGUUUGUAGAUGAAAUGAAGAAAAUUUUCAAAGUAAUGCAUGUGGAUCAGAUGAAAGGUGUUGAGUUGGCAGCCUACCAGCUUAAGGAUGUAGGGAACCAGUGGUACAACGAGUGGGAGGAUGCAAAGGGUGAUAGUGAUGAGCCCACAGUGUGGGACGAGUUCGUGGAAGCUUUUCUUGACCGAUUCUUUCCUCUGGAGCUGAGGAAAGCUAAAGCAUAGGAGUUCAUGAACCUCAAGCAGGGUAAGAUAAGCAUGCAGGAGUACACUUUAAAGUUUAAUCAGCUGGCCCAUUAUGCUCCUGAUAUGAUGGGUAUUAUGAGGUCCCGAAUGAGGAAGUUUGUAUCUGGCCUUUCGAAUAAUCUGGUGCUUGAGUGUUAGGGAGCCAUGCUGAAUAGGGAUAUGGACUUUGCUAGGCUGUCAGUUCAUAUACAACAAGUUGAAGAAAAGAAAAAGAAGAUUUCUGAAUCUAGGGAGAAGGAAAGAUAGGCAAAGAGAGCCAAGACAACGGACCAAAAUCACAGUCAGCGGCAGAGCGGCAAUUGGGGCAGCAAAUGGCAAAAGAAGAAGUUUUGGGGCAAGGCACAGUCCGCAGGCAACGUCCCAGCUCCCAGACCACCAGCUGACAUAAAAUCUCAGAGUUUUCAAACUAAUCACGGAUCCAGAGCACAGGAUACCCAGUCAUAGGGCAGUGUAGCUCAGCAGUAUCGUCCUUUUUUAUGGUGUGAGACUUGUGGUAGAAAUCAUUCUGGGAGGUAUCAGUUGGGCACACUUGCAUGUUACUCAUGUGGUCAGCCGGGUAACUUUUAGAGGGAUUUUACUUUGGCUAGGAGGAAUGUUGGUGGUGCCAAAUCUCAGGAUAAUUCUUCCAUGCCACCACCGCCUAAAAAAGGCACCAUAUCAGCUGCCAGGAGCGAUCACAACUGGUUAUAUGCUUUGACCAACCUCCAGGAUACGGAAGCCUCACCAGAUGUUGU